This 882-nucleotide ribosomal RNA is filed under the name Triticum aestivum (bread wheat). Its description in RNAcentral is "partial small subunit ribosomal RNA". The record is from RNAcentral. Lineage: Eukaryota; Viridiplantae; Streptophyta; Magnoliopsida; Poales; Poaceae.
AUGGCCUUCUUCUCCAUCCACCUGACGCUCUCCCUUCUCUUCUUCUCUAUCCAGGGCAGCAAUCCCCUCUUCUAUGCCGGUGAGGAACACCACCAGAGGAUGGAUUGCGUUUUGGAGCUCCCUCUACUGUCGCUCGAUCUGGCCUCCCCCGCUCAGUUGUCGCCCCGUGCUCCGGAUCUGGCCACAACAGGCCUCACGUCCUCCAGCCGCGCGCAAGCAGGCCAAGGCCGACGCCCGACCCCACCCCCUCUCAUCCUUUCUUCCCUUUCUCUCUCUAAUCUCUCACACGUUUUCUUCAGGGAACCCGCCAAUGGAGGUCGCCGCCUCUCCGUCUCGAUCUGUCCACCGACGGAUCCACGCGCGGAGCAUCUGGAUCCGCCACGCAGACAUGGAUGGGCGCCUUGGAGCUCCCCUCUGCCGUCCCCUGAUCUGGGCAUCUGGCCGCCCGCCAGUGCUCCGAAUCCGGCAAACAACCUCGCCUCCGACCCAAUUCAGACAGACGCCACAGCCUCCUUCCACCACGUGCGCCAAGCAUGCCCCCAGGUCCGACCGAUCAUGCGCCUCUCAUCCUCGCUGUUUUUUUGUUUGAGUCAACAUCACUGCUUCUUUUUGCUCGCAGCUCGCGAGGAGGCCAUGCUCCUCGUCCAGCCGCGGCCCACCUGCUAUGUCAGUCAGCCCAGCCGCCUCGUCCCGGCCUUCUCCGCCCCCAGCUCCAGGGCCUUGUCCCGGCCUUCUCCGCACCUAGCUCCAGGCCUCAAACGACUCGCUCUUUGGAGAUCGCGGGUCCUCCGUCGAGCGAGGCCGCCGGUGGUAGUGUUCGCUCGGGCGGCGAAGGCCGGCGGUCCGGAGAGGGCUGAGGCAAACAGGACGAUGGCAGGUUAA